AGUUCCUUCGGGAACGGAUUAGCGGCGGACGGGUGAGUAACACGUGGGUAACCUGCCUCAUAGAGGGGAAUAGCCUUCCGAAAGGAAGAUUAAUACCGCAUAAGAUUGUAGUGCCGCAUGGUACAGCAAUUAAAGGAGUAAUCCGCUAUGAGAUGGACCCGCGUCGCAUUAGCUAGUUGGUGAGGUAACGGCUCACCAAGGCGACGAUGCGUAGCCGACCUGAGAGGGUGAUCGGCCACAUUGGGACUGAGACACGGCCCAUACUCCUACGGGAGGCAGCAGUGGGGAAUAUUGCACAAUGGGGGAAACCCUGAUGCAGCAACGCCGCGUGAGUGAUGACGGUCUUCUGAUUGUAAAGCUCUGUCUUCAGGGACGAUAAUGACGGUACCUGAGGAGGAAGCCACGGCUAACUACGUGCCAGCAGCCGCGGUAAUACGUAGGUGGCAAGCGUUGUCCGGAUUUACUGGGCGUAAAGGGAGCGUAUGUGGAUAUUUAAGUGGGAUGUGAAAUACUCGGGCUUAACCUGGGUGCUGCAUUCCAAACUGAAUAUCUAGAGUGCACGAGAGGAAAGUAGAAUUCCUAGUGUAGCGGUGAAAUGCGUAGAGAUUAGGAAGAAUACCAGUGGCGAAGGCGACUUUCUGGACUGUAACUGACACUGAGGCUCGAAAGCGUGGGGAGCAACAGGAUUAGAUACCCUGGUAGUCCACGCCGUAACGAUGAAUACUAGGUCGUCGGGGUUGUCAUGACCUCUGUUGCCGGCGCUAACG
Molecule: ribosomal RNA, 767 nt
Filed under: Clostridium sp. BCAS13
Lineage: Bacteria; Bacillati; Bacillota; Clostridia; Eubacteriales; Clostridiaceae
Description: bacterial SSU rRNA
Rfam family: Bacterial small subunit ribosomal RNA
Source: RNAcentral